AAAUUGAAGAGUUUGAUCAUGGCUCAGAUUGAACGCUGGCGGCAGGCCUAACACAUGCAAGUCGAACGGUAACAGGAAGCAGCUUGCUGCUUUGCUGACGAGUGGCGGACGGGUGAGUAAUGUCUGGGAAACUGCCUGAUGGAGGGGGAUAACUACUGGAAACGGUGGCUAAUACCGCAUAACGUCGCAAGACCAAAGAGGGGGACCUUCGGGCCUCUUGCCAUCAGAUGUGCCCAGAUGGGAUUAGCUUGUUGGUGAGGUAACGGCUCACCAAGGCGACGAUCCCUAGCUGGUCUGAGAGGAUGACCAGCCACACUGGAACUGAGACACGGUCCAGACUCCUACGGGAGGCAGCAGUGGGGAAUAUUGCACAAUGGGCGCAAGCCUGAUGCAGCCAUGCCGCGUGUAUGAAGAAGGCCUUCGGGUUGUAAAGUACUUUCAGCGGGGAGGAAGGUGUUGCGGUUAAUAACCGCAGCAAUUGACGUUACCCGCAGAAGAAGCACCGGCUAACUCCGUGCCAGCAGCCGCGGUAAUACGGAGGGUGCAAGCGUUAAUCGGAAUUACUGGGCGUAAAGCGCACGCAGGCGGUCUGUCAAGUCGGAUGUGAAAUCCCCGGGCUCAACCUGGGAACUGCAUUCGAAACUGGCAGGCUUGAGUCUUGUAGAGGGGGGUAGAAUUCCAGGUGUAGCGGUGAAAUGCGUAGAGAUCUGGAGGAAUACCGGUGGCGAAGGCGGCCCCCUGGACAAAGACUGACGCUCAGGUGCGAAAGCGUGGGGAGCAAACAGGAUUAGAUACCCUGGUAGUCCACGCCGUAAACGAUGUCUACUUGGAGGUUGUGCCCUUGAGGCGUGGCUUCCGGAGCUAACGCGUUAAGUAGACCGCCUGGGGAGUACGGCCGCAAGGUUAAAACUCAAAUGAAUUGACGGGGGCCCGCACAAGCGGUGGAGCAUGUGGUUUAAUUCGAUGCAACGCGAAGAACCUUAC
This 984-nucleotide ribosomal RNA is filed under the name Salmonella enterica. RNAcentral describes it as "bacterial SSU rRNA". It matches the Rfam family "Bacterial small subunit ribosomal RNA", at positions 1 to 974 of the family's 1533-position model. RNAcentral also lists the same sequence under 7 other names. Lineage: Bacteria; Pseudomonadati; Pseudomonadota; Gammaproteobacteria; Enterobacterales; Enterobacteriaceae. The record is from RNAcentral.